This 501-nucleotide ribosomal RNA is filed under the name uncultured bacterium. Its description in RNAcentral is "bacterial SSU rRNA". It matches the Rfam family "Bacterial small subunit ribosomal RNA", at positions 94 to 630 of the family's 1533-position model. The record is from RNAcentral.
ACCGGCGGACGGGUGCGUAACACGUGGGAAUAUACCUUUCGGUACGGAACAACUGAGGGAAACUUCAGCUAAUACCGUAUACGUCCUUACGGAGAAAGAUUUAUCGCCGAAGGAUUAGCCCGCGUUCGAUUAGCUAGUUGGCGAGGUAAUGGCUCACCAAGGCAACGAUCGAUAGCUGUUCUGAGAGGAAGAUCAGCCACACUGGGACUGAGACACGGCCCAGACUCCUACGGGAGGCAGCAGUUGGGAAUCUUGGACAAUGGGGGAAACCCUGAUCCAGCCAUGCCGCGUGAGUGAUGAAGGCCUUCGGGUUGUAAAGCUCUUUUACCCGGGAAGAUAAUGACUGUACCGGGAGAAUAAGCUCCGGCUAACUUCGUGCCAGCAGCCGCGGUAAUACGAAGGGGGCUAGCGUUGUUCGGAAUUACUGGGCGUAAAGCGCGCGCAGGCGGUUUCUCAAGUCAGUGGUGAAAGCCCGGAGCUCAACUCCGGAACUGCCAUUGA